Molecule: unclassified non-coding RNA, 148 nt
Organism: Pongo abelii (Sumatran orangutan)
Lineage: Eukaryota; Metazoa; Chordata; Mammalia; Primates; Hominidae
Rfam family: Metazoan signal recognition particle RNA
About the family: The signal recognition particle (SRP) is a universally conserved ribonucleoprotein. It is involved in the co-translational targeting of proteins to membranes.
Source: Ensembl
GCCAGGUGUGGUGGUGCACACCUGUAAUCCCAGCUACUUGGGAGGCUGUGACAGGAGAAUUGCUUGAACCCAGGAGACUGAGGUUGCAGUGAGCCAAGAUUGCGCCACUGCACUCCAGCCUGGGUGACAGAGGGAGACUCUGUCUUUU